UAGCUCAGUGGUAGAGUGCUUGCCUCUCAUGCAUGAGGCCCUGGGUUCGAUUCCUCAG
Molecule: transfer RNA, 58 nt
Filed under: Dipodomys ordii (Ord's kangaroo rat)
Lineage: Eukaryota; Metazoa; Chordata; Mammalia; Rodentia; Heteromyidae
Rfam family: tRNA
About the family: Transfer RNA (tRNA) molecules are approximately 80 nucleotides in length. Their secondary structure includes four short double-helical elements and three loops (D, anti-codon, and T loops).
Source: Rfam by way of RNAcentral